GACGAACGCUGGCGGCGUGCUUAACACAUGCAAGUCGAACGGAAAGGCCCUGCUUUUGUGGGGUGCUCGAGUGGCGAACGGGUGAGUAACACGUGAGUAACCUGCCCUUGACUUUGGGAUAACUUCAGGAAACUGGGGCUAAUACCGGAUAGGAGCUCCUGCUGCAUGGUGGGGGUUGGAAAGUUUCGGCGGUUGGGGAUGGACUCGCGGCUUAUCAGCUUGUUGGUGGGGUAGUGGCUUACCAAGGCUUUGACGGGUAGCCGGCCUGAGGGGGUGACCGGCCACAUUGGGACUGAGAUACGGCCCAGAUUCCUACGGGAGGCAGCAGUGGGGAAUAUUGCACAAUGGGCGGAAGCCUGAUGCAGCAACGCCGCGUGCGGGAUGACGGCCUUCGGGUUGUAAACCGCUUUCGCCUGUGACGAAGCGUGAGUGACGGUAAUGGGUAAAGAAGCACCGGCUAACUACGUG
This 468-nucleotide ribosomal RNA is filed under the name uncultured bacterium. RNAcentral describes it as "partial 16S ribosomal RNA". It matches the Rfam family "Bacterial small subunit ribosomal RNA", at positions 28 to 507 of the family's 1533-position model. The record is from RNAcentral.